RNAcentral lists this small RNA (94 nucleotides) under Pseudoxanthomonas suwonensis 11-1. Its description in RNAcentral is "Xanthomonas sRNA sX7". It matches the Rfam family "Xanthomonas sRNA sX7". The record is from Rfam by way of RNAcentral. Lineage: Bacteria; Pseudomonadati; Pseudomonadota; Gammaproteobacteria; Lysobacterales; Lysobacteraceae.
AGUCUCUCCGCUCCCCGUCGGCGUGCUGUCAGUGACGCGCCGGCGGGGGGCGGUUCCUUCAAGCCAGGAGGGCAGGUGCCACGGAUGGCGCAAU